AGCAGCCGCGGUAAUUCCAGCUCCAAUAGCGUAUAUUAAAGUUGUUGCAGUUAAAAAGCUCGUAGUUGAAUUUCGGGGUCAGCAAGUUGGUCGUGCCACUGGUAUGCACUGGCUUUACUGAUUCCUCCUUCUUGAAGAACUGUAAUGCUAUUAAUUUAGUGUUGCAGGGAAACAGGACUGUUACUUUGAAAAAUUAGAGUGUUUAAAGCAGGCUAACGCUUGAAUACAUUAGCAUGGAAUAAUGAAAUAGGACGUUUGAUCCUAUUUUGUUGGUUUCUAGGAUUGACGUAAUGAUUAAUAGGGAUAGUUGGGGGCAUUAGUAUUCAAUUGUCAGAGGUGAAAUUCUUGGAUUUAUUGAAGACUAACUACUGCGAAAGCAUUUGCCAAGGAUGUUUUCAUUAAUCAAGAACGAAAGUUAGGGGAUCGAAGACGAUCAGAUACCGUCGUAGUCUUAACCAUAAACUAUGCCGACUAGGGAUCGGAUGAUGUUAAUUUUUAUGACUCAUUCGGUC
Molecule: ribosomal RNA, 512 nt
Filed under: uncultured Glomus
Lineage: Eukaryota; Fungi; Glomeromycota; Glomeromycetes; Glomerales; Glomeraceae
Description: SSU rRNA
Rfam family: Eukaryotic small subunit ribosomal RNA
Source: RNAcentral